RNAcentral lists this ribosomal RNA (555 nucleotides) under uncultured bacterium. Its description in RNAcentral is "bacterial SSU rRNA". It matches the Rfam family "Bacterial small subunit ribosomal RNA", at positions 347 to 916 of the family's 1533-position model. The record is from RNAcentral.
GGCAGCAGUAAAGAAUCUUCCGCAAUGGGCGAAAGCCUGACGGAGCAACACUGCGUGGUGGAUGAAGGCUUUCGGGUCGUAAACACCUUUUCUGGGGGAAGAAGUUCUGACGGUACCCCAGGAAUAAGCGACGGCUAAUUACGUGCCAGCAGCCGCGGUAAUACGUAAGUCGCAAGCGUUAUCCGGAAUUAUUGGGCGUAAAGUGUCGGUAGGCGGUUUUGUUAGUCUGUGGUUAAAUCCCAGGGCUCAACCCUGGAGGGUCAUUGGAAACUGGAGAACUUGAGUACAGAAGAGGAAAGCGGAAUUCCACGUGUAGCGGUGAAAUGCGUAGAGAUGUGGAGGAACACCAGUGGCGAAGGCGGCUUUCUGGUCUGUAACUGACGCUGAGGCGCGAAAGCGUGGGGAGCAAACAGGAUUAGAUACCCUGGUAGUCCACGCCGUAAACGAUGAGUGCUAAGUGUUAGGGGGUUUCCGCCCCUUAGUGCUGCAGCUAACGCAUUAAGCACUCCGCCUGGGGAGUACGACCGCAAGGUUGAAACUCAAAUGAAUUGACGG